RNAcentral lists this long non-coding RNA (2988 nucleotides) under Vitis vinifera (wine grape). RNAcentral describes it as "long non-coding RNA (VVIN_LNC007307)". The record is from RNAcentral. Lineage: Eukaryota; Viridiplantae; Streptophyta; Magnoliopsida; Vitales; Vitaceae.
GGGUUUCUAAAUCCUCGUUCUUUCGGAUUAGAAGUACUCCCACCACUGCUACGAAUAAUAGAGUUUUGCAGAAGAAGUUGCCCAUUUGGUCGACGAGACCUACCCCGGUCAAGCUGUCCACCAGAUAAGCCAUGAAGAACCCUAUCAUUGCGGCACGGCCUGCAUUAAACUCGUUAAGCACAAUAAACUGGAUCAGUACAAGGCCAGCAAGUAACUGUUCUCCUUAAAAUUUCAGAAGGGAUGCGAACAAACCAUUGAGUAGUUCAGCUUCAGGAAGAUGGAACCUCUUUAUCCAUGCCCACCAAGGUAUGAUAGAAGUGUCAAAAACUACAGGAUCAUCAUUACUGGAUGACUCUGGGUUGUCUUCAAGCCAUUUUCUCCUCCUAACCUCUGGAAAAGGGAUUAGCCAAGGAGGUUCAUUAGAAACCAAGAAAGCGCUGAAGAUUAUCAGGAGCAAGAACAAGUUAAUUACAAAAAAGAUGAUUAUAUUGAGUUCCCAUUUUCUAAACCACCAAUUCUUCAUUGCCAAAAGAAGAAAUUAAUGGAAAUGGGAAAAGGAAAAUUGAACAUGAAUGCUUAUGGAAAUGCCUUUAUCUCAAGCAUGUCACGAAAAACCGAGAGCAAAAGAGACUCUCUCUAGACAUACAUAUACACACAUCUGAAAAUGCCACUGGUGCAAUGGGAAUAUUGCACUACCAUGGGAAUUCUACUGCCUGUGAAAGAUAUUAAUCAGACAAAGAAAUACUUGGUGCAUCUCUAUCUCCAUAUUAGAACAAACAAUGAACUCAUUUUAUGACUGCUAAAUGCAAUGGAAUUAUUAAAUUACUUCAGGAUAUUCUAUUGCCCUUGAAAGCAUUUGAGAAGAUGCCCCCAAUUAUUCCAAUCAGUUACAAACUUCUUAGCAUCUAACACCUUUUCUAAGUCUUCUCGGUUAUCAAAUGUAGCAUUGCAGUUUUGGAGAGGAGGUGGGGAGUGCUGUUGGAGCGGAAGAGAACAAAUCCUAUCCUGAGGUCGUAAUCUUAGAAAUAAAAACAUUUUUGAUCAAAUUUGAAAACUAAUAUUAUGAAUACUUAAUCCCUUGAACCAUUAGGGGAUAUGCACAACAAUUUCAAUCACCAUCAGUGGAGAAUCUAAUACAGCCCUAUAUCCAUAUCAAUAGAACCACCUAACAGUGACAACCUAAAAGCUGCAAGAGCCAUUAGUGUAUCAAUCCCUCCCCAGCAAGCCAGCCUUUAUCUAUCUUAAUAACUCUUAAUAGCCCAAUGUUAAGAAAAACCUUAUCAAAAUCCUCUCAAAGCCAUCAUCACUGGCGUGAUAGCUGGCUGUUCAGAGGAGUUCAAUAACUCAUAAGUUAUCAAAAAAUAGAAAAUAUGAGGAAGCCAUCUUCUUAGUGCAACAAUAAAUUCUGUACUCCCCGAUUUACUACUUUGCAAUAGUGAUGACACCAAGACAUACAUCUCAAUCAUUUGCCAUGUUGCUUGGAAGUGGGGUGUAGGGUAUGGGUACAUGUCUAGGAAACAUAUUCUUUUAUCUUUAUCUUUAUCUUUUCUUCUUUACCCCUAAAUAUUCUCAAGUAAUAAUUUGUUAAGGAAAUUAAAAAUGAAAAAUAAAAAUAAAUGAAUUGUAAUCAAGCAAUCAUAUCGCAAAGUAGAAGUAUUUGACAAGGAUCUCACACCCAUGUCGUGUCAUGUAUGGUGUCAACAAGGGUGCGCUAGGUGAAGUUGGAGAUUCCAGGUACCAUAGAUCACUAGAAACAUGGAUCACCGAUUGGCCUGCUGAAAUAGGCCAUUCACCUAGAGAAUCCCAACUCAAAUAACUUAAACCUUGCACAGUAAUUUGUGCUUGACUACAAGAACCAUGUCUGAUCAUUUCCUUCAUCUUGAGCAUUGCAUUCUAUUACAUAGCAGGCCACUGGUUUUUUGCCUCAAUGCCUAAACCCACAUCCAUUUUCCCUUCUCUUGCCUCUUGUUCUUGCAACAACAUAGGCAGAUUAUGUUAUUCCCCAAAAUUUUCUGGGGCAUGCCCAUGCUCACUUUUCCAAGUGGUUGCCUAAUUUCUCUCGGAUAAUUGGGGGAUAAUGACCUAAAUAAUGAACUGAUAUUAUAUAGGAUUGAAAACUGAAUAGCAAAAAUAUAAAUUAUUUACUUCAUAUGGAUAAUUUGUUGAUCUUGAUGACAAAAACUUCCAUAUUACAAUAAAAACCCCAUUUUAUUGGUCAAGAAUUUGGUAUGUAAAAAUAAUAAUACUGAUAAUAUUUUGGAUUUUACCAUUUUUGUGGUAUUGGGUUUCCAAAAAAAUUACAAAUAAAUCACAAUAACCUAGCCAAAUAAUUGUGUUAUGGAUGUUCGAACUGGGGAUUUUCCUUUCAAAGGUCUGAGAUACUUAAAAAGAAAACAGUCGAAACCCCAAUUUCUUUUCUUUUCCCAAAUUUUCUGAGCAACCAAGCAACAGGAAUCAGAAAAGUAUCACCAUAUUCAAGAAGAUAAGAAGAGGCAAUAAUAAAUCUCACCAGCAUCAAUAACAGCAUCCCAGUUGGUCUUCCCAUCAGUCUCAAACUGCUUCAAAUCCCAGGUCCCUCCAACCCAUUUGAGGUCCUCAAAUUUAGUCACCAGUACCACAUCCCCAGCAGCAGCAGCCCCAUUAGGCUGUGAAUCCAAAACAGCAGCCUCUGGGGCCUUCUCCUCUGCCUUUUCAGGCUCCACAGUGGUGGCAGAGGUUGAAGUCCCGGCACCAUUUUCUGUGGCCUUUGCGGACAGAAGCAAGAGUUGGUGCUUCUUGGAUCUCAGAAAGAGACUUGGCUUGAGCGUGAAAUUGGGUUUGGGUGAGAGGGUUGGAAGGUGGGUUGGAAUGGGAGGGGAAAACAAGGCCAUUGACAUGGUGGUGAGCUUGAUGGGGGGUCUGGUUUGGAAAGAAGGUUCAGAAGAACAUGGCUGAGUUUGACUCUUAAAAAAGAGUGAGAGUGAUCCUCCACCUCAGAUAUGGCUUCUC